CGGGGGGGGGACGGGGGGGACGGAGCGGUUCGCACAGACAAAGGCGGGAGAACUGAAGGUCGAGGCUGAGAGGCCCUCAGCAUCCACAAAGCUUUUAUGUUUCUACAGUAAAUAUUAUUUUAUUAUACUCCACAAGAGGCUUUUGGUUAUUUUUAUGUAAUCUUUCCACCGUCAGGAUGCCGUACUGUGAGCCGAGCGUUGGGUAGAAAAACAAGCGUUUUCUUCAUAAAGUUCGACGCCGGCAGCUUCGUCUGUGACGUAACUGCCUGCAGUCGGGACUGAGGCAGGAGUUUGUAAUGUUUCAGGAAUAAGGUCAUGGCAUUGAAAGGAAAAUGAAACAUCUUUUGCAAGGAAAAAGGUGACUUUAUCCAAAUAUAACCACUUUUGUCAUAAAAUAUUUUUUCCUUCCACUUUAUUCCUGACGUGUUUUGCCCCCGUUCCUCCAAACCCUUUUGAUUUUAUCUCCAAGAUUUUUCUUGACUUGUAUUCUGUGGGUGAAGGAACAAUAUUGAUGUUUUUAAAGUAAAAGAUAUCAAAUAUCCCAGAAAAGAAGUAUGAAGGAACGUUUUCUUUAAUACGUUUUUUGCACGCUUGCUGAUUUCUUUUUUUUGUGUUGUCUUCCUCAUCCAUUUGCCAUUUCAACGAGACAGGUUGAAAUAUGUCAUUCAGGAACAGAUGUUUCGUGUUUUGAAAUACUGAUUUAUUUUCUUUAUACCAAAGUCAUUCAUUUGAGUGUAUUGGAAGUUCCCCGUUUCUGUGCAAAGCGAUUCCCAUUCAGCAUUUAACGAUGUUAGGUCUCCUAGGAGACGUCGCUGCGAGACACUGCCUUUUGACAAAUGCUAGUUUUUCAAAUGUAGGUUAAAUUAUAGCAGAAGAGAAGAGGCAUAAAACUUAAAGCUUAUCGUAAAGGGAAAGUGUGCAACUAGAGAUCAGUACGUGAGUUUUUCUUCUGUUUGAGUCGAGUUUGUUCGUUUGUAAUCUUUUAAGCAAAUGAGUUAGAUGUUUAAUUCGAUCGUCAAAAGCACAAAAGCGUUUUUUUCCAAUAUUUUUGUGGCAUUUUUUUUUUUUUUAAGACAUUUUGUGCGACGCCUUUGUUUUGAUCGCUGCGAUGAUUGUUCACCGUGCAGCAGGAGACCCAGAGCGGAUGUACGGACUUUGCAAUUCAAGCACAAUGUGCAAAUGCUACCAUGUUUUUAGUGGGAGAGAGGCGUUUAUAUACAGAGUAAAUCUUUGUGCUUUAAAGAUGUGUAAAAAAAUAAAAGCAUUUUUCUUAA
Gasterosteus aculeatus aculeatus (three-spined stickleback) is the source of this 1274-nucleotide long non-coding RNA. Lineage: Eukaryota; Metazoa; Chordata; Actinopteri; Perciformes; Gasterosteidae. The record is from Ensembl.